RNAcentral lists this ribosomal RNA (506 nucleotides) under uncultured bacterium. RNAcentral describes it as "partial 16S ribosomal RNA". It matches the Rfam family "Bacterial small subunit ribosomal RNA", at positions 29 to 523 of the family's 1533-position model. The record is from RNAcentral.
AUUGAACGCUGGCGGCAGGCCUAACACAUGCAAGUCGAACGGUAACAGGAAGCAGCUUGCUGCUUUGCUGACGAGCGGCGGACGGGUGAGUAAUGUCAGGGAAACUGCAUGAUGGAGAGGGCUAACUACUGGAAACGGGAGCUAACACCGCAUAACGUCGCAAGACCAAAGGGGGGGACCUUCUGGGCCCCUGCUCUCGGAUGGGCCAAGAUGGGAUUAGCUAGUAGGUGGGGUAACGGCUCACCUAGGCGACGAUCCCUAGCUGGUCUGAGAGGAUGACCAGCCACACUGGAACUGAGACACGGUCCAGACUCCUACGGGAGGCAGCAGUGGGGAAUAUUGCACAAUGGGCGCAAGCCUGAUGCAGCCAUGCCGCGUGUAUGAAGAAGGCCUUCGGGUUGUAAAGUACUUUCAGCGGGGAGGAAGGUGUUGAGGUUAAUAACCUCAGCAAUUGACGUUACCCGCAGAAGAAGCACCGGCUAACUCCGUGCCAGCCGCCGCGGUAA